UAGGGUUCGAUUCCGGAGAGGGAGCCUGAGAAACGGCUACCACAUCUAAGGAAGGCAGCAGGCGCGUAAAUUACCCACUCCCAGUUCGGGGAGGUAGUGACGAAAAAUAACAAUACAGGACUCAUAUCCGAGGCCCUGUAAUUGGAAUGAGUACACUUUAAAUCCUUUAACAAGGACCAAUUGGAGGGCAAGUCUGGUGCCAGCAGCCGCGGUAAUUCCAGCUCCAAUAGCGUAUAUUAAAGUUGUUGCGGUUAAAACGUUCGUAGUUGAACUUGUGCUUCAUACGGGUAGUACAACUACAAUUGUGGAUUGUACAUUACCUUAUGUAUGCAAGCGUAUUAUCGGUGGAGUUCUUAUAUGUAAUGAUACUUGUAUUGUUACAUAUACCUCCUAUUUAAACCUGCUUCAGUGCUCUUCAUCGAGUGCUGUUGUGGGCCGAUACAAUUACUUUGAACAAAUUAGAGUGCUUAAAGCAGGCUCCAAAUGCCUGAAUAUUUUGUGCAUGGAAUAAUGAAAUAAGACUUCUGAUCUACUUUCAUUGGUUUUUAGAUCAAGAGGUAAUGAUUAAUAGAAGCAGUUUGGGGGCAUUAGUAUUACGACGCGAGAGGUGAAAUUCUUGGACCGUCGUAAGACUAACUUAAGCGAAAGCAUUUGCCAAAGAUGUUUUCAUUAAUCAAGAACGAAAGUUAGAGGUUCGAAGGCGAUCAGAUA
This 711-nucleotide ribosomal RNA is filed under the name Allograpta obliqua. Its description in RNAcentral is "SSU rRNA". It matches the Rfam family "Eukaryotic small subunit ribosomal RNA", at positions 371 to 1014 of the family's 1831-position model. The record is from RNAcentral. Lineage: Eukaryota; Metazoa; Arthropoda; Insecta; Diptera; Syrphidae.